UUAUGAUACAUCACGUUCCCUUGUCACUUGUUCGUCCUGUUGGCUGCGUUUUCUCACUGGACGGAGAACUGAUAGGGCCCUGUGUGGAUCACGUG
RNAcentral lists this microRNA precursor (95 nucleotides) under Capitella teleta. RNAcentral's name for it is "microRNA cte-mir-184b precursor". Its record names the gene cte-mir-184b. The record is from miRBase by way of RNAcentral. Lineage: Eukaryota; Metazoa; Annelida; Polychaeta; Capitellidae.